GGAAAAUAAUAUUCAAAUAGGCCAAACAGGCAGUCUUUCCACUUGCACCCCUGUGUUUACAAUGAUACACAUCUCUUUUCUAAACCAGGCCCAAAAAAUAGGCCCAGACAGUAAGCUUUUCCACCUACAAUCCCUAAGUUCCCUAUUCCUACCCCUCCUAAAUCAGACUCCAUCAGAUGUUGCCACGUGUCGCCAGUCCACCACACAGAGAUUCAGCCAAUGACUUGCUGCAACAUCACCAUCCCAGCCACGUCAUCAUCUCCUUCAACCCUUCUCCAGAAACCUAAUCCUCCUUUGCGCCACCGCACACUCUGCCACCACUCAACCUUACAUGAGCCGCCACUACUGAAACGCCAUGGUCUCGUCGUCAGUCGCCCAACGUCAUUGCACAGCAACCACCUUCAUCUUCUUCGCGCUGCCACCAAUUGCAAAACCUAGAAGCGAGUUCUCAACAGAAAUCGCAAAACAUGAAUCGCCUCAACACCAGAAUCGCGAUUCCUUCGUCCUCCAUCACCAAGCGUGAUUCGAUCUCCUUCCAAACCUGCAUCAAAGCCAGAUCUACAAGCGAAGCAGAACCCAAAUUCAAGAUCAAUCACAAAUCGCACACCAUUGAAGUCGCUACCCCUACCAUGUUCAUCCUCCUUCAGAAAUUACGAAACCUACAAGGAAGCAAAGAACCAGAAAUAGAUUCCCAAGCACGACCUCCUUGUCAUCGUGGGCCUUCAUGGCCGCUGCGACGCCAACACUACGAGAGCCGCUGCAAGCCCUCCGUUACUCUCCUCCAUUCGCGACCUGCAAGCAAAAAUUGGCAAACCAGAAACAACCACAAACCCUAACAGGAAGAAGCCUCCGCGAGUCCAUUUCGCCAUCAAGGCAGCAACCAGCUUCUCCUUCGAGAGGUAUUUCUUUCCUUCACGACGCAGCGUUGAGCAAUUUUCCCAAUUCACAGAAACCCUAAUUUUUGGGUGGGGGAAGGGUUGCCACGUGGCGAGUGUUAACAAAUUGGCAAGCGUACCAAAUCGUUUCAAGUAAUAAUAAAUGGUAAGUCCAAGUAUCGUUUUCCCAAGAGACUCACGGCACUAAACUGUUGUGCUUUUGCUUAACCAAUCAAGACUAUAAGAACAAAAUACUUUUAUCGUUUUUGAAUGUUAAGUGCGGAAAAAUAAACAUUAAUGCAAUUUGAUCAAUUGAGGUUAAACACAAAAGUGGAUGGAUGAUGUUGAUAAGAUGAGAUGGAUUUGUUGCUAGGGUUCAGAUUUCACCUAAUCACUCUCUCAUAUUUACUUUUCUUAUUUGUUUCUCUUUGUUAUCUAAUUGUCAUGCAAACUUUCUUAGUCUACCCUUAAACCGAUCCCUCGGCGAAAAGAGCCUAUUAUUAGUUACUGGCUUGCUAUCCCUAGCCUCCCCUAGUAAUUAAUAACACAUUAAGAAUAGAAGCAAAAACAAUUGAUCGUCCUACCCCCCUAUCCCUAGGUGGUAUUGCUUAAUAAAGUAAUUUCCCCUAGUUCAUGAAAGUACUGUACGUUCCCGUAUCAAUAAAGACAAACAACGAUUAUCGAAUGAGUUAAACGAUAUAAGCUUUAAGCGCAGAAGAGAAACCCAACAAUUGAUAAUCAAAGCAUACGAUAAGCAUAUAAAUAAAUAAGAAAUUCGAUAUAUGAGAGUUUUGAGGUUACAUCUUUCCCCAGCAACAAAUAAGAUUAGUUCUCCAUCGUCAUGGAGAAACUAGGUGAAUAAUGGAAUGAAAGAGAUACAAACCCUAAAAAGGAGAAAAGGAGAGCUAUCACCAUCUUCAAAUCUAGCCCCAAAGGGGUGAAAAGUGUGUUUCUAUGCCUAAGCCAUCAAAAGAUACAAACCCUAAGACGUUCUGGCCUUUAAAUAGGGCAUAAAAAUGACAUAAACCAAGCCCAAACCCAAACAGAUCAUAAAAAAUAACAUAAAACAGGUUCAGGCCCAUCAGACAACCGCCCGAUGCCUAAUUUCACCGCUGGGCGGUUUCCCUCAAGCCGCAGCACCGCCCGACGCUCAAUUUCACCGCUGGGCGCUGGUCAACUGCACUCUGGUAAACUUUUCAGCAUUCUAGUCAACUGGUUGACUGGUUAACUUUUCUGCAUUCUGUUUGACUUUUCUGCACUCCAACCAUUUGAUAAUUCAACCAUUCUUUCAAAUCAUUCCAAAAACCUACAAAAUCAAGGGAAUUGAACGAAAAAAAUCAUAAAAAAUGUCCUCAACUCUUUUAUUCACAAAAAUAAAGAAAACGCAUUGUUCCAAGCAAGUUUCUAAGUCAAAAAUGUGUUUUUGAUAUCAAAAUUAAGUAUGAAAAUAAUUGUUUUUAAACCGUUAUCACAACCCCAAAUUUGAAACUUUGCUUGUCCUCAAGCAAACAAGAUGAAACUCAGUCUUCCACAAAUCAACACAAUGGUUCAAUCACAUUCAAAAGCUCUUUCUUUCAAGAUAGGUAAUCACUCAAAUCAACUCAUCAAUAAAAUUUAGUCAAGAUGUGCACAUGCUUUGAUUCAAAUUACUCAUCCUGGUGUUCACAUAAUCAUAUAAUCUUCCAAUAGAUGCUAUUCUCAUGAAUGAUCAAUUAGCUUAACAUAGAUAUAAUCAUGAAUUCAUGGAAUCAUUCCUCACCAGAUAAAGUGUUUCACUCAAGUGUUUCACUCAAAGGUGUAAAAAGGUCACUCCUUCCCUCUACUAUCUACAAGUCACAUAGAACAAAGUUGCUUUUCAUUUACAACAAUCAACAUCAUCACAUGCACAUGUCAUCAUAAGGACUUUUCAAGGCUUAUAAUGUGGUUGGGCUAACAAGGAAAAUUGGUUUUUCUAGAUCACAAAAUCCUUGAGUUAAGAGAGUUAUCUAUACAUUCAUAGUUCAAGCACAAACUCUCUUUUUACCAAUCUCACUCAUUCCUAACUUUCCCUUUUCUUCACAUUGAGCUUUUCUUUUCAUGNUGGAAAAUAAUAUUCAAAUAGGCCAAACAGGCAGUCUUUCCACUUGCACCCCUGUGUUUACAAUGAUACACAUCUCUUUUCUAAACCAGGCCCAAAAAAUAGGCCCAGACAGUAAGCUUUUCCACCUACAAUCCCUAAGUUCCCUAUUCCUACCCCUCCUAAAUCAGACUCCAUCAGAUGUUGCCACGUGUCGCCAGUCCACCACACAGAGAUUCAGCCAAUGACUUGCUGCAACAUCACCAUCCCAGCCACGUCAUCAUCUCCUUCAACCCUUCUCCAGAAACCUAAUCCUCCUUUGCGCCACCGCACACUCUGCCACCACUCAACCUUACAUGAGCCGCCACUACUGAAACGCCAUGGUCUCGUCGUCAGUCGCCCAACGUCAUUGCACAGCAACCACCUUCAUCUUCUUCGCGCUGCCACCAAUUGCAAAACCUAGAAGCGAGUUCUCAACAGAAAUCGCAAAACAUGAAUCGCCUCAACACCAGAAUCGCGAUUCCUUCGUCCUCCAUCACCAAGCGUGAUUCGAUCUCCUUCCAAACCUGCAUCAAAGCCAGAUCUACAAGCGAAGCAGAACCCAAAUUCAAGAUCAAUCACAAAUCGCACACCAUUGAAGUCGCUACCCCUACCAUGUUCAUCCUCCUUCAGAAAUUACGAAACCUACAAGGAAGCAAAGAACCAGAAAUAGAUUCCCAAGCACGACCUCCUUGUCAUCGUGGGCCUUCAUGGCCGCUGCGACGCCAACACUACGAGAGCCGCUGCAAGCCCUCCGUUACUCUCCUCCAUUCGCGACCUGCAAGCAAAAAUUGGCAAACCAGAAACAACCACAAACCCUAACAGGAAGAAGCCUCCGCGAGUCCAUUUCGCCAUCAAGGCAGCAACCAGCUUCUCCUUCGAGAGGUAUUUCUUUCCUUCACGACGCAGCGUUGAGCAAUUUUCCCAAUUCACAGAAACC
This 3910-nucleotide long non-coding RNA is filed under the name Vigna radiata. RNAcentral describes it as "long non-coding RNA (VRAD_LNC017880)". The record is from RNAcentral. Lineage: Eukaryota; Viridiplantae; Streptophyta; Magnoliopsida; Fabales; Fabaceae.